Molecule: ribosomal RNA, 980 nt
Filed under: Sneathiellales bacterium
Lineage: Bacteria; Pseudomonadati; Pseudomonadota; Alphaproteobacteria; Sneathiellales
Description: partial 23S ribosomal RNA
Rfam family: Bacterial large subunit ribosomal RNA
Source: RNAcentral
UCGAGUGUCUGAAGGGCAUUUGGUGGAUGCCUUGGCGCAUAGAGGCGAUGAAGGACGUGGCACGCUGCGAUAAGCCCCGGGGAGCCGUGAGCAGGCUUUGAUCCGGGGAUCUCCGAAUGGGGAAACCCACCUUCGGAUGUCAGAAGCCAGGGAUUGGCAGCUUCAAUCUCUGACUUCUGGCAUCCGGAAAGGUAUCUUGACCUGAAUACAUAGGGUCAAGAAGCGAACCCGGUGAACUGAAACAUCUCAGUAACCGGAGGAAAGGACAUCAACCGAGACUCCCUGAGUAGUGGCGAGCGAAAGGGGACCAGGCCAGUGCUGAUCAUGAUCGAACCGGAACCGUCUGGAAAGGCGGGCCAAAGCGGGUGAUAGCCCCGUACGGGUAGUGUGACUGAUCAGACUUGAGUAGGGCGGGGCACGUGAAACCCUGUCUGAACAUGGGGGGACCACCCUCCAAGCCUAAGUACUCCUAUGCGACCGAUAGUGAACAAGUACCGUGAGGGAAAGGUGAAAAGCACCCCGAUAAGGGGAGUGAAAGAGACCUGAAACCGAAUGCCUACAAACAGUGGGAGCCGCUUCGGCGGUGACCGCGUACCUUUUGUAUAAUGGGUCAGCGAGUUGGUCUGGCAGGCAAGCUUAAGCCGUGAGGUGUAGGCGCAGCGAAAGCGAGUCUUAAUAGGGCGUCAAGUCUGUCGGAUCAGACCCGAAACCGAGUGAUCUAGCCAUGAGCAGGCUGAAGGUGGGGUAACACCCACUGAAGGGCCGAACCCGAUAAUGUUGAAAAAUUACGGGAUGACUUGUGGCUAGGGGUGAAAGGCCAAUCAAACUCGGAAAUAGCUGGUUCUCCGCGAAAUCUAUUUAGGUAGCGCGUCGCGUAUUACCGCCGGGGGUAGAGCACUGGAUGGGCUAGGGGGGCGCGAGCCUUACCAAACCUAACCAAACUCCGAAUACCGGUGAGUACAGCGCGGCAGACAGACGGC